RNAcentral lists this antisense RNA (75 nucleotides) under Cryptosporangium arvum DSM 44712. Its description in RNAcentral is "ASpks TB sRNA". It matches the Rfam family "ASpks TB sRNA". The record is from Rfam by way of RNAcentral. Lineage: Bacteria; Bacillati; Actinomycetota; Actinomycetes; Cryptosporangiales; Cryptosporangiaceae.
CUUGAUCGAGCCCAGUAGCACGGGCCGGUCGGCGGGGCGUCCCUGGCCGUAGGUGGCGAUCAGCGCGUCCGCCUC